RNAcentral lists this ribosomal RNA (229 nucleotides) under uncultured bacterium. RNAcentral describes it as "partial 16S ribosomal RNA". It matches the Rfam family "Bacterial small subunit ribosomal RNA", at positions 568 to 796 of the family's 1533-position model. The record is from RNAcentral.
UGCGUAGGCGGAUCAGUAAGUCAGUGGUGAAAUCUUUCGGCUCAACCGGGAAACUGCCAUUGAUACUGUUGAUCUUGAGCUCGGCAGAGGUAGGCGGAAUGUGUAAUGUAGCGGUGAAAUGCUUAGAUAUUACACAGAACACCAAUUGCGUAGGCAGCUUACUAGACCGACACUGACGCUGAGGCACGAAAGCGUGGGGAGCGAACAGGAUUAGAUACCCUGGUAGUCC